This 420-nucleotide ribosomal RNA is filed under the name uncultured archaeon. RNAcentral's name for it is "bacterial SSU rRNA". It matches the Rfam family "Archaeal small subunit ribosomal RNA", at positions 458 to 878 of the family's 1478-position model. The record is from RNAcentral.
UCAGCCGCCGCGGUAAAACCAGCACCUCGAGUGGUCAGGAGGUUUAUUGGGCCUAAAGCAUCCGUAGCCGGUUGUUUAAGUUUUCGGUUAAAUCUAUGCGCUUAACGUAUAGGCUGCCGAAAAUACUGGAUAGCUAGGGAGUGGGAGAGGUACACGGUACUCAAUAGGAAGGGGUAAAAUCCUUUGAUCUGUUGAUGACCACCUGUGGCGAAGGCGGUGUACCAGAACACGUUCGACGGUGAGGGAUGAAAGCUGGGGGAGCAAACCGGAUUAGAUACCCGGGUAGUCCCAGCUGUAAACGAUGCAAACUCGGUGAUGCAUUGGCUUGUGGCCAAUGCAGUGCCGCAGGGAAGCCGUUAAGUUUGCCGCCUGGGAAGUACGUACGCAAGUAUGAAACUUAAAGGAAUUGGCGGGGGAGCA